This 430-nucleotide ribosomal RNA is filed under the name Streptococcus sp. oral taxon A95. RNAcentral describes it as "bacterial SSU rRNA". It matches the Rfam family "Bacterial small subunit ribosomal RNA", at positions 28 to 443 of the family's 1533-position model. The record is from RNAcentral. Lineage: Bacteria; Bacillati; Bacillota; Bacilli; Lactobacillales; Streptococcaceae.
GACGAACGCUGGCGGCGUGCCUAAUACAUGCAAGUAGAACGCUGAAGGAGGAGCUUGCUUCUCUGGAUGAGUUGCGAACGGGUGAGUAACGCGUAGGUAACCUGCCUGGUAGCGGGGGAUAACUAUUGGAAACGAUAGCUAAUACCGCAUAAGAGUAGAUGUCGCAUGACAUUUGCUUAAAAGGUGCAAUUGCAUCACUACCAGAUGGACCUGCGUUGUAUUAGCUAGUUGGUGAGGUAACGGCUCACCAAGGCGACGAUACAUAGCCGACCUGAGAGGGUGAUCGGCCACACUGGGACUGAGACACGGCCCAGACUCCUACGGGAGGCAGCAGUAGGGAAUCUUCGGCAAUGGGGGGAACCCUGACCGAGCAACGCCGCGUGAGUGAAAGAAAGGGUUUUUCGGGAUCGUAAAAGCUUCUGUUGUAAAG